GGCCGCUUGAGACAAUGGAAUGGCAUGGACUCCACGACUCGUGAUAGAGACAGGAUCGACGUGCUAAUUAUUAUGAUUUCAUUAUCCGAUUCAAGAAAUGCACCCAUAUCCCUAAACGGCCAAAGCUAGCAGUCAAUAACUGGUUUUUGGCCAAAAACUGCGCGAAAGGACCAAAUCCAAUUAUGCCGAUUCGUAAAGUUUUUGCUUGGGAACAAGAAGACGACGAAGGAGACAUGGGUGCGACAGAAAAAGAUAAGACGGCGGCGAACGUGAGGGAGAAGAUGUAGCUGAUGUGGGUAAUUGUCCUGAGUAAAUUUGUGACGUCCCUUCCCCCUCCCCCCCUGCGCCCCCUCCCAAAAAAAGAAAUUGAUGAAAUGGUCUCCAGGCGGACGAGUAAACGCGGGAACGCUAUUAAGUAGUGUUUGCUCAUGAAAAUUAAAAAUUUUUACGGUUUAAAUUAAAAUUGGAGUUUUGAGUUACAUUUGAUCAUAUAUAUAUAAAUUAAUGUUGUUUUGAUUUUUUGUGAUAGAAAUGAAAGUGAAAAAAGUUACCUGUUUGCA
Capsicum annuum is the source of this 560-nucleotide long non-coding RNA. RefSeq lists it as uncharacterized. The transcript is spliced from 2 exons. The record is from RefSeq and is a predicted model, not a curated record. Lineage: Eukaryota; Viridiplantae; Streptophyta; Magnoliopsida; Solanales; Solanaceae.